This 756-nucleotide ribosomal RNA is filed under the name uncultured bacterium. RNAcentral's name for it is "bacterial SSU rRNA". It matches the Rfam family "Bacterial small subunit ribosomal RNA", at positions 75 to 831 of the family's 1533-position model. The record is from RNAcentral.
UAUCUUCGGAUAGAGAGACCGGCGCACGGGUGCGUAACGCGUAUGCAAUCUACCUUUCACAGAGGGAUAGCCCAGAGAAAUUUGGAUUAAUACCUCAUAGUAUGCAGAGUUGGCAUCAACACUGCAUUAAAGUCACAACGGUGAAAGAUGAGCAUGCGUCCCAUUAGCUAGAUGGUAAGGUAACGGCUUACCAUGGCUACGAUGGGUAGGGGUCCUGAGAGGGAGAUCCCCCACACUGGUACUGAGACACGGACCAGACUCCUACGGGAGGCAGCAGUGAGGAAUAUUGGACAAUGGGCGCAAGCCUGAUCCAGCCAUGCCGCGUGCAGGAUGACGGUCCUAUGGAUUGUAAACUGCUUUUGCACAGGAAGAAACAACUCUACGUGUAGAGUCUUGACGGUACUGUGAGAAUAAGGAUCGGCUAACUCCGUGCCAGCAGCCGCGGUAAUACGGAGGAUCCAAGCGUUAUCUGGAAUCAUUGGGUUUAAAGGGUCCGUAGGCGGUUUAGUAAGUCAGUGGUGAAAGCCCAUCGCUCAACGGUGGAACGGCCAUUGAUACUGCUAGACUUGAAUUAUUAGGAAGUAACUAGAAUAUGUAGUGUAGCGGUGAAAUGCUUAGAGAUUACAUGGAAUACCAAUUGCGAAGGCAGGUUACUACUAAUGGAUUGACGCUGAUGGACGAAAGCGUGGGUAGCGAACAGGAUUAGAUACCCUGGUAGUCCACGCCGUAAACGAUGGAUACUAGCUGUUGGGAGCG